Molecule: non-coding RNA, 468 nt
Organism: Paramuricea clavata
Lineage: Eukaryota; Metazoa; Cnidaria; Anthozoa; Malacalcyonacea; Plexauridae
Source: the annotation of a GenBank genome assembly
ACGGAAACCAACCUGUCACUCGACCAGUUAAUUGUUUCAAAAUAUUCUGCUUUGAUAACUACAUGUUUAAUACACAUGAAGAAUUUCGUUUCCAUAGAUGUCCCCUCUGAUUUAUCCUUCCAUAAAAGUACAAUAAAAUCCCAAGUGAUAUUCUUUGGUCAAUACAUAAAAAUUACUUAUAAUCAACAAUGUUUAUUUAAUUCUUUAUAAAACGUUUAAAGACAGAUCACUCGACUAGUUUUCUCUCAGUUUGAUCUUCGUCCUUCGAUCUUUGAUAAGUAUUACCGUUAGCUAUUCCACAAUUUGUUGAAAGAAAGCUCGUAGAAUGCAUAGAUAAUAUAUACCCACUCUUAAAUCUCACUAGGAAAGUUUUAUUUAUCAUAAUAAUAUGAAAACUCGAAAACGUCGCGCCUUCGCGCUGCCAUGUUUGAUAAAAUCAAUCGGCUCCGCUCCCCCCGGAUUGAAAAC